AACGAACGCUGGCGGCAGGCCUAACACAUGCAAGUCGAACGCCGUAGCGAUACGGAGUGGCAGACGGGUGAGUAACGCGUGGGAACAUACCCCUCGGUUCGGAAUAACUCAGGGAAACUUGAGCUAAUACCGGAUAAGUCCGAGGUUUUAAUCGACCUUGGAGAAAGAUUUAUCGCCGGAGGAUUGGCCCGCGUCUGAUUAGCUUGUUGGUGAGGUAAUGGCUCACCAAGGCGACGAUCAGAGCUGGUCUGAGAGGAUGAUCAGCCACAUUGGGACUGAGACACGGCCCAAACUCCUACGGGAGGCAGCAGUGGGGAAUAUUGGACAAUGGGCGAAAGCCUGAUCCAGCCAUGCCGCGCGAGUGAUGAAGGCCUUAGGGUUGUAAAGCUCUUUUACCCGGGAAGAUAAUGACGGUACCGGGAGAAUAAGCCCCGGCUAACUUCGUGCCAGCCGCCGCAGUAAG
RNAcentral lists this ribosomal RNA (463 nucleotides) under uncultured bacterium. RNAcentral describes it as "bacterial SSU rRNA". It matches the Rfam family "Bacterial small subunit ribosomal RNA", at positions 29 to 524 of the family's 1533-position model. The record is from RNAcentral.